CGGACGGGUGAGUAACGCGUGAGGAACCUGCCUCAGAGUGGGGGAUAACACACCGAAAGGUGUGCUAAUACCGCAUAACAUACGGGAGGGGCAUCCCUUUCAUAUCAAAGAUUUAUUGCUCUGAGAUGGCCUCGCGUCCAAUUAGCUAGUUGGCGGGGUAACGGCCCACCAAGGCGACGAUUGGUAGCCGGACUGAGAGGUUGAACGGCCACAUUGGGACUGAGACACGGCCCAGACUCCUACGGAAGGCAGCAG
This 255-nucleotide ribosomal RNA is filed under the name uncultured bacterium. RNAcentral describes it as "partial 16S ribosomal RNA". It matches the Rfam family "Bacterial small subunit ribosomal RNA", at positions 99 to 354 of the family's 1533-position model. The record is from RNAcentral.